UUCGCAAUGCCCGAAAGGGUGACGAAGCGACGCCGCGUGUGGGAAGAAGGCCUUCGGGUUGUAAACCACUGUCGGGAGUUAAGAAAUGUAAGGGUGUUAAUAGUAUCCUUACUUGACUAAGGCUCCGGAGGAAGCCACGGCUAACUCUGUGCCAGCAGCCGCGGUAAUACAGAGGCGGCAAGCGUUGUUCGGAAUUAUUGGGCGUAAAGAGCACGUAGGCGGCUAUAUAAGUCGGUUGUGAAAGCCUUCCGCUUAACGGAAGAACAGCGACCGAUACUGCAUAGCUAGAGUGCGGGAGGGGAGAGUGGAACUUCUGGUGGAGCGGUGAAAUGCGUAGAUAUCAGAAGGAACGCCGGCGGCGAAAGCGGCUCUCUGGACCGUAACUGACGCUGAGUGUGCGAAAGCUAGGGGAGCAAACGGGAUUAGAUACCCCGGUAGUCCUAGCCGUAAACGAUGGGCACUAAGUAGAGGGGUUUU
This 477-nucleotide ribosomal RNA is filed under the name uncultured bacterium. RNAcentral describes it as "bacterial SSU rRNA". It matches the Rfam family "Bacterial small subunit ribosomal RNA", at positions 365 to 832 of the family's 1533-position model. The record is from RNAcentral.